UACGGAGGGGGCUAGCGUUGUUCGGAAUUACUGGGCGUAAAGCGCACGUAGGCGGACCAGCAAGUUAGGGGUGAAAUCCCAAGGCUCAACCUUGGAACUGCCUUUGAUACUGGGGAUCUUGAGUCCGGGAGAGGUGAGUGGAACUGCGAGUGUAGAGGUGAAAUUCGUAGAUAUUCGCAAGAACACCAGUGGCGAAGGCGGCUCACUGGCCCGAUACUGACGCUGAGGCACGAAAGCGUGGGGAGCAAACAGG
Molecule: ribosomal RNA, 253 nt
Filed under: uncultured bacterium
Lineage: Bacteria
Description: partial 16S ribosomal RNA
Rfam family: Bacterial small subunit ribosomal RNA
Source: RNAcentral